Juglans microcarpa x Juglans regia is the source of this 654-nucleotide long non-coding RNA. RefSeq lists it as uncharacterized. The transcript has 3 exons. The record is from RefSeq and is a predicted model, not a curated record. Lineage: Eukaryota; Viridiplantae; Streptophyta; Magnoliopsida; Fagales; Juglandaceae.
AUAGAAAAGAGGAGGGAGAUAUUGGAGAGACAGAAUGAAAGAUUAUAAAAAGCCAUUUCGUUCUGUUUUUAUCGUCUUUCAUAUAGAUGCCAAAGAUUUUAUUCCCAAAUAUGAUAAGACACUUGAGGCAAACACCACAACUUUGCCAAGCUUUGAAGCACGACUACAAUAUUAUAUAUAUAUAUAUAUAUAUAUAUAUAUAUAUAUAUAUUUAUGGGUAAAUAAGAUUUUAUUGAUCAUAAAGAUAGGUAAAAGCCCAAGUACACAGAUCAUGGACAAAAGCAAUGCCUAGAGUGAUGUUCUAAUAAUAUAAGAAAUUCAUGAAUGUUGGAGCCAUUAAAAUCAAUUACAAUAUACUAUUGGAACAAAGAGUUAAAAAAGAAAGUUUUGAGUUUAUUCAUCGACCGCUCACAAUCUUUAAAAUUCUCUCGUUCCUCACCCUCAAAAGACACCACUAUAGACAGAUCGAAAGCAUUUUCCAAAUUGCGAUAAUCUGAAAGGUGCCUUGUAGUCCUCUCUAUGAAGCUAAGAGGUUGACCACCCUUCUUGACACUACUCAAACUACACUCACCCUAGAAGAAAGUCAUUUCACAAAGUUGUGGCAAUCUUACAAUAUAUUAGUACAUCAUCAAUGAAUUCUCAACUCUUUUUAUA